Molecule: non-coding RNA, 458 nt
Organism: Delphinapterus leucas (beluga whale)
Lineage: Eukaryota; Metazoa; Chordata; Mammalia; Artiodactyla; Monodontidae
Source: RefSeq, a predicted model, not a curated record
AUCGUGGGGUCAGGACACGUACCUGCUGGGUGGACCUGGAUGGAUACCCGCCCGGGGCCCCUGCAAAAGUGGCCACGAGUCUGUGUGUUGCCUGGGCGAAGAGAGGACCGCUCCCUUCCCCCAGCCCUCCUCCUAAGCUGCCCCCACGGACGUGAAUUCACAGCAGCAUGUAUAGUGCCAGCCUCCUGCCCCAAUCCCUUAAGACCCUGAUAUCUGCCGACUCAGCCCGGGCGCCUCCUCCUUGGGCGUUUUUUGAUGUUAAAUUCCAGGUGGUUUUUGCCUCUUCCAAGCUCAAAGACACAGAACUAGACCUUCACUUUCGGUCGUGGGACUGGUAAGCCUGGCAAGCAGCCGAGAUUGAGGACGGGAUGAAAAAUGACUGGGACACGCACAGAGGAAAGACCGCGUGAGGACCCAGGGAGAAGGCAGCUGUUGACAAACCAAGGAGAGAGGCUGCA